UACGAAGGGAGCUAGCGUUGUUCGGAAUUACUGGGCGUAAAGCGCACAUAGGCGGGCUGAUAAGUCAGGGGUGAAAUCCCGAGGCUCAACCUCGGAACUGCCUUUGAUACUGUUAGUCUUGAGAUCGGGAGAGGUGAGUGGAAUUCCUAGUGUAGAGGUGAAAUUCGUAGAUAUUAGGAAGAACACCAGUGGCGAAGGCGGCUCACUGGCCCGAUACUGACGCUGAGGUGCGAAAGCGUGGGGAGCAAACAGG
RNAcentral lists this ribosomal RNA (253 nucleotides) under uncultured bacterium. RNAcentral describes it as "partial 16S ribosomal RNA". It matches the Rfam family "Bacterial small subunit ribosomal RNA", at positions 524 to 776 of the family's 1533-position model. The record is from RNAcentral.